AGAUCGGGAAUAUUCAAGGCCCUUGAAAAAUAUGCACAUGCUUUUAUAAGGUAUAUAAAUAACGUCUCCGGGUAGGCAAGAUUGUUGUUGUUUUUAAUAAAAAAGAGGGUUGGACGGGGACGGAAAGGGUGGAAAGGCAUUGCUUUCCACUUUGAGUUUCUGGAGAAGGAACGGAACAGAGCGACUGAGUGAAGAAUUCCUGAGAGGAGAAAAGGGAAAAUCCAACCCUCCACAUUGUGGCUCACCUUGUGCCAACCUCAACUAAGCCGCAAUCAUGAUGUCAGCUUUGCCUUUCUGCUAAAGGAAAGUUCUCAGCCUACCUCUUCUUGGAUAUACUUGAACUCCUCCAGCAUCACAUUAAAGAGAAAUUUGGAAAUGUUCCCAAAGUCAUAUAUGUGUCACAUACCUUAAAGCAAAAGAACAAGAAAAAACACCAACCCUAGAGGGAUGGAGGAUGGCCUGCCGUGAGAUGCCCUCUUGCAAACCUUCCAUUUUGUCAUCCCUCCCGCUCCACAGCGAUUAAGUCAGCCUCGCAUUCCAAAGACAUGAGUCCAAACCAUAUUCCUUUUAAAUCUCAACAAAGCGGAGGUCUGAUAUCUUCAUUGUGUGCGCCUGCUUGCCUGCCUGCGAGUGCCUGGACUUCUGAACUUUCACCUCCGAGCCAGCUGUAGUAUUACGCACUUGCCUGCCUUUUCUCUUCAAGUGGGUCAAGUAGAGGUGGAAUGGAAAACCUCUGAAAGCAACAGCAAAGGAAGUUGAAAAGAUACUCUCGUGUUCAAUUCAUGCCGCUGCUCCUGAGUUAUAUCCGUUAGACCUCCCUGCUUGGGAUGCAGUCCUUCACCAAUUCCAUUCUAGAAGGAAGCAACGAGGAACAUUGAGCCAUUUUAGUCUCAUUGAAAGUCUUUGUAGCUUGGGACCGAUUUGGCACAAAACGUCUUCAUGGUAUUCUUUUGCCACAGAGGUUACAAUGUUCAGUUUUAUGAUAACACACGUACUUCAUGGACAUUAUAUGCAAGCAUUCUCCUGAGCUGGAAUGAAUCAAUGGUCCAUUGCACAACAUAGAGCAUCCACUGCACAACUGGACACAUUGUGCAUCAGGACUACAGCCAAAGUGACCCAUUAUCAUGUUGCAAAGUUUGUAAACCAAAUGGUAUUAUUUCUUGAUGCAUUUCCAUUACUUUCUAUUACCAAGUCAUUGUACUCCUUGAUGCAUUUCCAUUACUUUCUAUUACCAGGUCAUUGCACUCCUUGAUGUAUUUCCAUUCCUUUCUAUUACCAACUCGUAGUACUCCUUGAUGCAUUACCAUUACUUUCGUAGUACACCUUGACACAUUUCCAUUCCUUUCUAUUACCAACUCGUAGUACUUCUUGAUGCAUUUCCAUUAAUUUCUAUUACCAACUUGUAGUACUCCUUGAUGCAUUUCCAUUCCUUUCUAUUACCAGCUCGUAGUACUCCUUGAUGCAUUUCCAUUCCUUUCUAUUACCAACUUGUAGUACUCCUUGAUGCAUUUCCAUUCCUUUCUAUUACCAGCUCAUAGUACUCCUUGAUGCAUUUCCAUUCCUUUCUAUUACCAACUCGUAGUACUCCUUGAUGCAUUUCCAUUACUU
This is a long non-coding RNA of Anolis sagrei ordinatus, 1608 nucleotides long. RefSeq lists it as uncharacterized. The record is from RefSeq and is a predicted model, not a curated record. NCBI's taxonomy places the organism in Eukaryota, Metazoa, Chordata, Lepidosauria, Squamata, Anolidae.